This 1330-nucleotide ribosomal RNA is filed under the name Aeromicrobium sp. RNAcentral's name for it is "bacterial SSU rRNA". It matches the Rfam family "Bacterial small subunit ribosomal RNA", at positions 75 to 1413 of the family's 1533-position model. The record is from RNAcentral. Lineage: Bacteria; Bacillati; Actinomycetota; Actinomycetes; Propionibacteriales; Nocardioidaceae.
CUCGUAUCGGGAGUACCGCAGCGGCGAACGGGUGAGUAACACGUGAGCAACCUGCCCUUCUCAUCGGAAUAAGCGUUGGAAACGACGUCUAAUGCCGAAUACGACCUCCUUUCGCAUGAUCGGAGGUGGAAAGCUCCGGCGGAGAAGGAUGGGCUCGCGGCCUAUCAGCUAGUUGGUGUGGGUAACGGCCCACCAAGGCGACGACGGGUAGCCGGCCUGAGAGGGUGACCGGCCACACUGGGACUGAGACACGGCCCAGACUCCUACGGGAGGCAGCAGUGGGGAAUAUUGGACAAUGGGCGAAAGCCUGAUCCAGCAACGCCGCGUGAGGGAUGACGGCCUUCGGGUUGUAAACCUCUUUCAGCAGGGACGAAGCGAAAGUGACGGUACCUGCAGAAGAAGGACCGGCCAACUACGUGCCAGCAGCCGCGGUAAUACGUAGGGUCCGAGCGUUGUCCCGGAAUUAUUGGGCGUAAAGGGCUCGUAGGCGGUCUGUCACGUCGGGAGUGAAAAACUCAGGGCUCAACCCUGAGCGUGCUUCCGAUACGGGCAGACUAGAGGUAUGCAGGGGAGAACGGAAUUCCUGGUGUAGCGGUGGAAUGCGCAGAUAUCAGGAGGAACACCGGUGGCGAAGGCGGUUCUCUGGGCAUUACCUGACGCUGAGGAGCGAAAGCAUGGGGAGCGAACAGGAUUAGAUACCCUGGUAGUCCAUGCCGUAAACGUUGGGCGCUAGGUGUGGGGACCUUCCACGGUCUCCGUGCCGCAGCUAACGCAUUAAGCGCCCCGCCUGGGGAGUACGGCCGCAAGGCUAAAACUCAAAGGAAUUGACGGGGGCCCGCACAAGCGGCGGAGCAUGCUGAUUAAUUCGAUGCAACGCGAAGAACCCUUACCUGGGUUUGACAUAUACCAGCAAAGCUGCAGAGAUGUAGCCCCCCCUUGUGAUCGAUAUACAGGUGGUGCAUGCCUGUCGUCAGCUCGUGUCGUGAGAUGUUGGGUUAAGUCCCGCAACGAGCGCAACCCUCGUCCUAUGUUGCCAGCACGUCAUGGUGGGGACUCAUAGGAGACUGCCGGGGUCAACUCGGAGGAAGGUGGGGAUGACGUCAAGUCUUCAUGCCCCUUAUGUCCAGGGCUUCAAGCAUGCUACAAUGGCCGGUACAAAGGGCUGCGAAACCGUAAGGUGGAGCGAAUCCCAAAAAGCCGGUCUCAGUUCGGAUUGGGGUCUGCAACUCGACCCCAUGAAGUCGGAGUCGCUAGUAAUCGCAGAUCAGCAACGCUGCGGUGAAUACGUUCCCGGGCCUUGUACACACCGCCCGUCACGUCUAGAAAGUCU